GACGAACGCUGGCGGCGUGCUUAACACAUGCAAGUCGAACGGUGAAGCGCCUUCCUUUUUGGUGGGUGUGGAUGAGUGGCGAACGGGUGAGUAACACGUGAGUAACCUGCCCCCUUCUUCUGGAUAACCGCAUGAAAGUGUGGCUAAUACGGGAUAUUCUGGGUCUGUCGCAUGAUGGGUCUGGGAAAGAUAUUGUUUCGGUGGGGGAUGGGCUCGCGGCCUAUCAGCUUGUUGGUGGGGUGAUGGCCUACCAAGGCGGUGACGGGUAGCCGGCCUGAGAGGGUGGACGGUCACACGGGGACUGAGACACGGCCAAGACUCCUACGGGAGGCAGCAGGGGGGAAUAUUGCACAAUGGGCGCAGGCCUGAUGCAGCGACGCCGCGUGAGGGAUGGAGGCCUUCGGGUUGUGAACCUCUUUCGCCAGUGAAGCAGGCCUGCCUCGUUUGUGGGUGGGUUGACGGUAGCUGGAUAAGAAGCGCCGGCUAACUACGUG
RNAcentral lists this ribosomal RNA (494 nucleotides) under uncultured bacterium. Its description in RNAcentral is "partial 16S ribosomal RNA". It matches the Rfam family "Bacterial small subunit ribosomal RNA", at positions 28 to 507 of the family's 1533-position model. The record is from RNAcentral.